Macrobrachium nipponense is the source of this 1621-nucleotide long non-coding RNA. RefSeq lists it as uncharacterized. The record is from RefSeq and is a predicted model, not a curated record. NCBI's taxonomy places the organism in Eukaryota, Metazoa, Arthropoda, Malacostraca, Decapoda, Palaemonidae. The transcript has 3 exons.
UGCCGGAGGUUGUGUGUGAAAUCUCAGGCAAUUCAAAAACACCCAGCCUCUGUCUCAGUCCAAGCUAGUAACUGCAGCAGGGCAGACGUGCCCUCUCCUCUGACUGAAGUCAGCCUUUGUGUCGUCCCAGGUAGUUGGAGCCCCCCUUCAUACAUUACGACCCAGGCUCAAGCCCUAAGGAUCAAAGCCUGCAACACUGGAGCUAUCAGCCAUGAGCCCCACCAGGCUGGAUGCAAGAUGAGAAAUGAACCUUAGCGUAAAAUGCCUUAAUAUGCACACAAUCGAAAGGAAUUCCACAGUCUGCCUGCUCGGCUCACCUCCACGAGUUCCUAAAACCCAAACCCAUGCAGUUAUACGCAUGGUUAUUAACAAGUGCUUAGAUCAGUGCCCCUGGGGACAUGCAACUUUAGUGCCAGGUUUGGCAGUGCCCAUCAUAUCCAAGUACUGUGGCACCACCUAACAUAAACCACAAGUAUGUACUUCAUUUGUGAUGUCUCAUCAAGACAAACUAACUGCAUGACUUUGAAUUCACAAAGUUAACCUUAUAGUAAUUAAGUGCAUGAAUUAUUUUAGUAAUAAAUCUUUAACCUUGUUUUUAUGCUCUUACAAUGAUUCAUGACAUGCAUACUCAUGGAAUACUUUAAUUAGAAAUUGCUAUAAAUGCUGCUUUAGAGUAACAACUGAACAUCACCUAAUGAAUUUAAUUACCAGCAGCACUUUAUUCUGUGAUAACAAUUUUUGAAAUUGAUGUAAUAUCAUUUGCAGUAACACUGUCUCGCAGAAACUCUCAUUUUAAGAUUAGUGCAACCAGAGGAACUUUAAUGAGAGAAAAUAACCUAGUCAGUCGAGUUAACUUGCUUGUAGACAUUCGCACCUGAUUCAAGGUGCGACAUAUCAACUUGUCGGGGGAUUUGCAAUGGAAGGAUACCCUUCCCAAUUCAACUAGCCCUCCAAGCUUUGCAGAGGAAAGUACAUUAAAACAUAACUUUUAUUCCUUGAAGGGAAUUUAACAUAAAUCUAAAUGGUUUUAUUCUUUUCAAAAGAAGUAAAGUAACUUUUAAUCGUACUGAUGACUGACAUGAAAAUACUGCCCCUUCUUAAAUAUCUUAUUAUCACUUCCCGGACUACUGGUAAUCUUUUCUCUUGACCUCGUGACUGCCCUGAAACUUCUCUUCCAGGUAAAAAGCUGCUUGGAGACAAAGACCCCACCAGAGGCCCCAGAUGCACCGGUGAUGGGGAUUUACCAAAAGAAAAAGUUGAGGGCCAUUGCCCUGCCAUGUGGCCGACCAAACAAUCAUGAGGUCACAGGAUCGCACCAAUACCCAUUUGUGCGCCCAUAGAAAAUCGGGUGCUGAAAACACUGGAAGAUAAUUCAGCAAAGUCAUAACAGGAACUACCUGACCCGAACCAAACAAGACACACCCUGGCAGCAGAUCCAGCAGCGUUGCUCUUUGACUCCUGCUCCGUCCAAGCCUCAUCCCAAACACGUGGCUGCUGUUCUUGGCUCAGUAAGCUCAGUAUUCUUCCAGUGCUAAGUCCUAGAAUACUAAAUAUGACCCUAAUCAUGCUCCUUAAGUGCUAAACUAACUUUUAAAAUGAAAUUAUUCCAGGCAGCCACUGG